AGGGGGGCUGCUCCUAGUACGAGAGGACCGGAGUGGACGCAUCACUGGUGUUCGGGUUGUCAUGCCAAUGGCACUGCCCGGUAGCUAAAUGCGGAAGAGAUAAGUGCUGAAAGCAUCUAAGCACGAAACUUGCCCCGAGAUGAGUUCUCCCUGAGACUUAGAGUCUCCUGAAGGAACGUUGAAGACGACGACGUUGAUAGGCCGGGUGUGUAAGCGCAGCGAUGCGUUGAGCUAACCGGUACUAAUGAACCGUGAGGCUUAACCUU
This 266-nucleotide ribosomal RNA is filed under the name Salmonella enterica. Its description in RNAcentral is "partial 23S ribosomal RNA". It matches the Rfam family "Bacterial large subunit ribosomal RNA", at positions 2665 to 2925 of the family's 2925-position model. Lineage: Bacteria; Pseudomonadati; Pseudomonadota; Gammaproteobacteria; Enterobacterales; Enterobacteriaceae. The record is from RNAcentral. RNAcentral also lists the same sequence under 1 other name.